CCGGGGUCGGCCCGGUGGUGCACACGUUCGGCUUCAGCGGCCCGGGGUUCGCCGGUUUGGAUCCCAGGUGCAGACAUGGCACCGCUUGGCAAGCCAUGCUGUGGUGGCCCACAUUUCCUCCCCAUCUAAAUAAAGGGAUUUACAAGGACUUCCUCGGGGAGGCUGUCAGCAUCCAGAAAAGCUGAGCUGAGGGCUUGUGACAACUGCCCCAACAUGCUGUUAUACAGGCUGUGGACAGUACACCAUGUCUCCCCGGUAACAUUCAGAGGAUGGAACGAUGGCUCUAGAACUGGAUUCUGAUCUUGGACAAAGUAUACUGCUCUGGACCUCAGAAGUCAUUCUGCUUCUACAAGUCCAACUUGUCAAAGUCCUUCUCUGAGAAACCGUCCAGACUUCCCCGGUCAGAAUCAACGUCUCCUUCCUCUUGUGGACACCCCUAACACUUUGUUUCUUCCUCCCGUGCAGCAAUUACACAGUGUGCCUUGUGGUCUAGAUGGUUCCACAGGCUUUGAAAUCAACGAACCAAGUUCAAAUACAAUAUUGACCUUUGGCAAACGAGUCAGCAUCUCGAAGCCUCAGUUUCCUUCCUUGUGGGAUAGAGCGCCCAUUUUACAGCUGGGAGAAUUCAGCGAGAUCAUGUGUAACUAGCACCUCACACAGCUCCUGUUGGAUGGCACGUGUCACCAGGUCCCUCAGAAGGCCAGCUGAAAGAACUGAGAGCAAAUACUCUGCAGGGUGCUGAUGGACCACCCCAAAAAGCAGCCUCCUUCUCCUGACUCCUGCCAGCAUGGGGGUGUUACUACUGUAUUAAGGAUCUUGUAGGGCAUGGAAAUCAAGAUUCCGCACACGUUUGCACGUGGUACAGCUGAGGAUUGAAGCCUGGGAUGGAUAUGUACCAACCGUAGAACCUGCCAUGAGCAUAGCUUCAAGAAGGCAGGGACAGUGUCUGCCUUGUUCACAGCUGCAGCUCCGGUAACUAGUUCAGAGCCUGUACAUCCUGGGAAUCAAGAAACAUGUCUGAGGAAAGGAAGGAGGAAAAGAAGGAAGAAUGGAAGGAAAGCUGAAUGGUAAUAAAGAAAAUUUAGACAAUGAACUUCUCUCAAAUGAGAGAGAAGAGUCUGAAUCUGCUCUCAGUGGAACCUAUCAUUUCUGACCUCGGAGAGGUAAUAAGAGGCUUCAAGUGCUUUGUUCUUUAAGUAACUGGCCACUGUGUACAUUGUUUGGUCAUGGGUUGUGGAAAAAUCCCCCCGAGUCAGCUCCAAGGAACAAAACGUGGUUGCUUAGACUGUUCAAACCUUCAAAACUAGUCUUCUCAAAAGGCUUGGGCCUAAAGAACACUUGUGUGACCUACAUGUUGUUUGCCAUUGUCACUGACAGAGAACAAAGGAAAGGGAAGAACCCUUUGAUUGGUCUGCAUCUCAAUAACCUGAAAUGUCUGCCCCACUGCUCAUUUUAAAAGGAGCAAGAGUAGAUCUACGUGGUGUUCCAGGUUAGGAUGGUGGAGCGAGCCGCACAGCUAAUGCUGCUCCUCCGCAACGUUCCACUAAGACCAGAGGAAAGGGAUGUUCUUUAAAGAGCAAAACCCACAGGAAAGACAAUACAAGGGCAGUGAAACUUCGGAAUCUGGAAAGCAGAUUGACAACUGGCAACACCAUAUACUUCUGUUCUGUACAGAGGGUGUGGAGAGGAGGCUAGAACAGCAAGGUGUCUAAAACAGGAAAGACUGGGUGAAAGCUGUCCCACUGGGUUAGAUCUCUACGUCUCCACUCCAUUGCACAUUGCUAUGGUUGAAUAGAUAGAGUAUUUACGUUCAAUAUGUGCAUAUCUCAACUACAUAGUAUAGUAGUUUAUUCUCAGGAGUAGAUAGAGCAGGCCUCCGGACUGUGGGACAUCAGGCACACGUGAGAGCAGAUGUAUUAUUCUCACACCAAACACAGACAGACUGCAUGACCGAAUGCUAGAUGCUGAGGACUUCUCUCUCUUCCUCGGCUUGGCUCCCAGAAUGCCAGAAGCCCUACUACUUCCCUCUAGGCAGGAGAUUAGAAGGUUAUUUUCUGCUAAACAUAACCAACCUAGGAGGAAAGAUUUUAAAAUAUUGACAUCAGGAGUUCACCAACAAACAGCCCAUCCAGAACACCUGAGAGUGUCACUCACAGUAAACAAGCCUCACAUAUAAGAAAGGAUGACCAGAUACUUGAGGGAGACCUCUAACAUGGAAGACAGAGGCCAAAACCAACAAACGGAAGAAAGGAACUUGGAGAAAAUAGAGACUAUAGAAAGAGAAGAAACCUUCAACAAAACUAUUAGUAUCCUCAGAGAAAUCAGAAGAAAUGAUUACCCUUGUGAAACUAGAAAAUGGUACUACACAAAACGGAAAUUCAAAGUAAAAAGAGAUCUUGAAAGUUAAAAAAUAGCUGAAAUGAAAAAAUUCGAUAGAAGAAUUGGAAGAUAAAGUUGAAGAAAGUUCUGAGGAAGUAGAGCAAAAAGACAAAAGAGAAGGAAGACAUAAGGAAAAUCAAAGGAGCAGAACUGAAGGGCCAACACCUGAGUAAUGGAUGUUUUUUCCAGGAAAAGAGCACAGAGGCAACAAAGUGAAAAAUCAUUAACAAAAUAAGUUAACAAAAAUUCUCAUAACUGAAGACAGGAGUUGCCAGGUAGAAGGGGCCCCCUAAGUGCCUCCCCAAGAAAAUUUGAGUAGAUCUAUGUCAAGGAACAUCAUCGUGAAAUUUCAGAACACUGGGGACCAAGAGAAGGGUCUAUCAGCUUCCAGAGGGAAAAAAAGGUUACAUACAAAGGAUCAGGAAUCAGAAUGACUUCAGAUUUCACAACUGCAGCAAGACAAGGGAGAAAGACCUUCAAAAUUCUCCAGGAAAAGUCUUCCUACUGCAAUUCUAGAUUCAGCCAAACUGUCAAACACAUAUGAGGGAAGAAUAAAGACACUUUCAGAUAUGCAAAGUCUCAAAAACUUAAUUCCCAUGUACUCUUUCUCAAGAGCGUAGUGAGGAUAUACUCCUACCAAAAUCUAAGAAAAAAAAUCAAGAAAGGGGAAGAGUGCUGAAGAGUUUGUUUCUGCACCCUAACCAGUGUUAUCAGAGGCUCACUUGUAUGGACUGUUCAACCAACAGAGUCGCCAGCAGGAGAUGUGGAGGAGAGGAGGCCGAAGGCAGCUCGGGGCCCUGUCAGGAUAAAGAGGCCUCUGAGGUACCAUAGCAUGCAUUCUACCACUCAUUUCUCAGGGAUUUCUCUCUCUCCCUCACUUUCUCUUCUGCCUUCUUAAUUCUCUCCUACUUUCUUACUCUUUCGCCCCCUCCUUCAAUGAGCGAUCUUUGACAUAGCCUCCAUCACCACGCUUAACCAUGAAAAGGGCAGUGAGGCCAAAAGAGGCAAGGCAGCACAACGGAUAACAGAGCAUGGAUUAUGGAGUUAGACAACACCGGGUUCAAGCUCUAGUUCUGCCAUUUAAAAGAGGGAUGACCCCAGGCAAAUUACUCACCUUUACUGUAAUACAAGAAAAAGAAAGAUCAUUGUAUCUACUUCAUGUACAGGUUGAUUAAAUGUGGUAACAAAUGUAAAAUCUUAGAAUAGUGAGUGGUAUAUUAAGCUCUCAAUAAAUGGUAGCUAUAAUUAACAUAAAUUAAAAGUGCCAUUCCCCCAGGACAGCCAGAUUGCUCCCAAUUCCCCAGUUUACAAACAUAACAAAAAACAUCUUUAUGUGGCAUUUAUGGUAGUCAAUAGUACUAUCCUCCAAAUGUUUCCAG
This 3758-nucleotide long non-coding RNA is filed under the name Equus caballus (horse). RNAcentral describes it as "lncRNA (ENSECAG00000058625.1)". The record is from RNAcentral. Lineage: Eukaryota; Metazoa; Chordata; Mammalia; Perissodactyla; Equidae.